UUACGGCCGCAUCAAGAUGAAACACCGGUUCCCGUGAGAUCACCGAAGUUAAGAAACGUUCAGUACCUAGAUGGGCGACCACUUGGGAAUACGAGGUGCUGUAAG
Molecule: non-coding RNA, 105 nt
Organism: Acanthosepion pharaonis
Lineage: Eukaryota; Metazoa; Mollusca; Cephalopoda; Sepiida; Sepiidae
Source: the annotation of a GenBank genome assembly